CGUUCCAGGCCUUGUACACACCGCCGUCACAUCAUGAAAGCCGCUUGUACCCGAAGUCGCCCUCAAAAGGCGCCGAAGGUAUGGGUGGUGAUUGGGAGUG
This 100-nucleotide ribosomal RNA is filed under the name uncultured bacterium. RNAcentral's name for it is "partial 16S ribosomal RNA". The record is from RNAcentral.